RNAcentral lists this long non-coding RNA (1545 nucleotides) under Sus scrofa (pig). Its description in RNAcentral is "lncRNA (ENSSSCG00035018143.1)". The record is from RNAcentral. Lineage: Eukaryota; Metazoa; Chordata; Mammalia; Artiodactyla; Suidae.
GGAAGAACACCCCAGAUUACACAAGUCCAAUGUCUCUUCCAAAGCCGCGAGUCAGAUGCCAUCACUCGCUCCCUGAGACGGGGUGGAGAGAGGGUCCAGAAGUGUUAUCUACGUGGAGUUGUCUCCACAGGGAUGGAAAUACCAGAAGUGGGAAGACGAGUCUCCCGGUAGCUAUCUCACAGGUUUGGUGCGAAAGUGAAAUAAAUUUGCCAUCGCAGGCUCAUAUCCUGGCUCAUCUGUGUCCCUGUGAUCAGUGUCCCCAUGCUUCUUGCAAAUCGGUUGUCUGUGCUCGCUGUUUAGAUCAUCUACUUUUGCCAUCAGCGGAAGGCUCCCCAAACACAUGCCUGAGCCCUUCAGAAUUAUGUUCAGAGGGGGCACGGAACAAAGAAAAGGUUGACCCCAUCCUCACUUGCUGGAGGCAGGAGAUGUGAUUCAAUGUGUCAGAGAACUUCCUAAACGACAAGACAGCAAUUUUUUAAAGUUAACUUAAAAAAGAAAAGAAAAGAAAGAAAGCUCAUGUCCUUGGCUGAUGAGCGUGGAGAAGACCUUGGGAUGGUUUUCAGAGAGACGGAAGCCUUAGCACAGGCCUGCUGCUGCACGCAAAUAUUUGCUUAAAUUUGAUUCAACAAAUAUUUAUUGAGCAUCUGUCAUAUGCCAAGUGCCAGGGAUACUGGAAUGAAAAAAAGAUGAGCAAAAUUUCUACCCUCCUUGAGAUGAUUCCUGGUGGGGAACCCAAUGAACAAACCCAUAGAUACGUAAUCAGUUCGGGCCUAAGGAGGAAUCACAUUUCUCCGUGCUUCUGCUUCCGAGGACAAUAUUAGGUAAACUGAGAGGCAGAAAGAGAAUUCCAGAGUCGGGCAGAGUUACGGAUAGAAGAGCUUCAAGUUUUCAGGCUGGAAGCGACCUUCACAGACUAUCUUAUCCCUAAUCGGACUGCCAGGUGGGGCCACGUAGAAUGCAGCCGCGUGUUUUCCUUAGGUCUGCCGUGUUCUCCUCCGAAGUGUUCUCGUUGAGAAGGUAAGAAAAAUGAAGAGGCUACAGUGGAAAACAACAUAGUGGCUCCUCAAAAAAUUAAACAGAAUUUUACCGUAGGAUGCAGUGAUUCCACUUCCAGUUUAUACUCCAGAAGAAUUGAAAGCGGGGACUUGAACAAAUAUUUGUACACUCAUGUUCAUAAAACUGUUCUGCACAAGAACCGAAAAGUGGAAGCAACCCUUGUGUUGAUGGAUGAAGAGGGAAGGGAGACGUGGGAUGCACAUGCAGUGGAAUCCUAUUCAGUCUUGAAAAGAAAGGGACCUCUGACACCUGCGACCUUAUGAAUGAAUCUUUGAAGACAUCACGUUGACUGAAAUAAGCCACCGAUUUUCCUGUUGCUGUGGAAUGUGAGGAGAUUAUUCCCGUCUCUCUAGGGCUCACAGACCGUGUGUCUCUACCCUUCGUGGUCCCUUUUAUGAGCUUUUAAAAUUGGGAAUACUCGGUUGAUGGUACCUUUUGACUCCAAUUUUCUAAUGCUGAGUGCCCUGAAAUACAAGUCAAUUAUGACAC